UCGAAUCGCAUGGCCUUGUGCUGGCGAUAGGUCAUUCAAAUUUCUGCCCUAUCAGCUUUCGAUUGUAGUGUAGUGGACUACAAUGGCUUUAACGGGUAACGGGGAAUUAGGGUUCGAUUCCGGAGAGGGAGCCUGAGAAACGGCUACCACUUCUAAGGAAGGCAGCAGGCGCGUAAAUUACCCAAUCCUGACACAGGGGGGUAGUGACAAUAAAUAACAAUACCGGUCCUUUUUCUGGUCUGGUAAUUGGAAUGAGCACAAUUUAAAUCCCUUAGCGAGGAUCCAUUGGAGGGCAAGUCUGGUGCCAGCAGCCGCGGUAACACCAGCUCCAAUAGCGUAUAUUAAAGUUGUUGCAGUUAAAAAGCUCGUAGUUGGAUAUCUGGCAAUUACACCUGACCCGCGGUUAUGCCGUGCUGUGUCGGUUGUUGUUUUUGCCAUCCUUUCAGAUUUGGUUUCUUAAUUUCUUCGGAAAUUUUGGAGCUUGUGAUCUGGAUCGUUUACUUUGAAAAAAUUAGAGUGUUCAAAGCAGACAUUUUGUCUCUGAAUACAUUAGCAUGGAAUAAUAAAGUAGGACUUUGAUUCUAUUUUGUUGGUUUGUGAAUCGAAGUAAUGAUUGAUAGGGAUAGUUGGGGGUGCUUGUAUUGAACGGGCCAGAGGUGAAAUUCUUGGAUUCGUUCAAGACAAACUACUGCGAAAGCAUUCACCAAGGAUGUCUUCUUUAAUCAAGAACGAAAGUUGGGGGAUCGAAGACGAUUAGAUUCCGUCGUA
This 768-nucleotide ribosomal RNA is filed under the name uncultured eukaryote. RNAcentral's name for it is "bacterial SSU rRNA". It matches the Rfam family "Eukaryotic small subunit ribosomal RNA", at positions 260 to 1022 of the family's 1831-position model. The record is from RNAcentral.